GAUGAAGAACGCAGCGAAAUGCGAUAAGUAAUGCGAAUUGCAGAAUUCAGUGAGUCAUCGAAUCUUUGAACGCACAUUGCGCCCUGUGGUAUUCCGCAGGGCAUGCCUGUUCGAGCGUCAUUUCAACCCUCAAGCUCUGCUUGGUGUUGGGCCCUGCCCGCUGUGGCCGGCCCUAAAGACAGUGGCGGUGCCGCCUGGCCCUGAGCGUAGUACAUCUCUCGCUCCAGUGCCCGGUGGUAGCCUGCCAGAACCCCAACUCUCGUGGUUGACCUCGGAUCAGGUAGGGAUACCCGCUGAACUUAAGCAUAUCAAUAAGCGGAGGA
RNAcentral lists this unclassified non-coding RNA (323 nucleotides) under soil metagenome. RNAcentral describes it as "partial contains 5.8S ribosomal RNA, internal transcribed spacer 2, and large subunit ribosomal RNA". The stretch from base 1 to 120 matches the Rfam family "5.8S ribosomal RNA", at positions 35 to 154 of the family's 154-position model. The record is from RNAcentral.